Molecule: long non-coding RNA, 1625 nt
Organism: Canis lupus familiaris (dog)
Lineage: Eukaryota; Metazoa; Chordata; Mammalia; Carnivora; Canidae
Exons: 3
Source: RefSeq, a predicted model, not a curated record
UCUAUAAACAUUCACACUACCUUUGCUUAUGGUUUAAGUACACUGUGGCUUGAAGGUUGCUAUUUUUUCUAGUAUUUUCAUAUAUUUCUUUAAGGUAAUUUUCAACAUUCUAAUUAGUAGUCUCUGUAUCCUGCAGAAUCUGAAUCUCAUUAAAGGAAGUCAAUGUGAAAAUAGGAUUUACUUGCAAAUCUUUAUUUUUAAAAAAAAAUCUUCCAGUUUUUAAAAUAUGGCUAGACUUUAAUCUAUUAAGUGAGAAUAUCAAAAGUGAUAAAAUUCUAUGUCAGAUCUUAUAUACCACAUUAAAAAAUAACUUUAAAAAAUCAUCAUGUGCUUCCAAUUAUGAUAAUUAGACAUCCCACUUUGAACAGUGUUCUACUCUACAAACUUAAAAGGUUAGCCUUUAAAAAAAAAAAAUCACAAAACAGUCUCCCAAAGUACAAACUCGUACCAACAAACUCCAAAUCAGAUACUAAUAAAGCAAACACUGAAGACCAUCUUACCAUUGUCUACUGCUUCUAACGGAAUGCAGUUAUUAUUUCAUAAGCAGACUUUAGAUCCAGGAAUAAAAAAAGACAAAAAGAACUCAAGAGUUUAUGGAUCAAUAAAAUAAAACUCUUUCUAUAUAUGUCCUGAAAUCACGGAGAAAUUUAAGGAAAGAUGGGCAUAACAGGCAAUGGAUCUGCUUUUGGGGAAAAAGGCAUACUCCUUCUUGCAUAUCCAGAAAUCUCUAUCAUUCCACUUCCUAUCCUAUUUUAUUUGAGGUUCCAUUCUUUCAUGCCUUUCUCUUUCUUAUUUUUGAAAACACGAGAGAGGUUCUUUUCCACUAUUCUUGCCUAAUUGAAAGGCAUGAAUCAAUUUUGAGCAACAUGAAUGGCAUUACUUAUUUCAAACUACCCAAAUGAGAGGCAAAAGGCUAAUCUACUGUCACCGUCCACCUGCAAAUCCAUGCACAGGAGUGGUGCUGUUCUUGGGACUCCCUUGGACAUGUGAUAGCCAACAACAAAAGGUGCAUGAGAAAAGUUUAAAUGAAGUUUAAUAAUUAGAAUAAGCCCAUAAACAGAUGUGGAACAGGAAGUAAAGCCUCUGAAAGAGGUACUACAAAUGUUCAGCCAUGUCUUGUGCAUUUUAUAAAAUGCUUGGAUGCUGAAAAUCCAAUGCUAAAUUUACAUUUUAGAUUUGGAAAUAAUGAUACCUAGUCUUUAAAAACCUAUUCAUUCUUUGGCUCAUCGUUUUUAAAAAAGAUCUUAUUCAAUUUAGCAAAUAUAUAAACAAACAUAUUUUUAUUCCAUGGUCCCUAUGCCCUAUACUCGCACACUCUAAUUUGUUUCAGUGGACAGGAAACGCACCGUAUCCCCCUGCCUGGAUGGGUGUUUUUGGAGAAGCGCAAGCAUAGAGACUAAAAUCCUCUGUUUGGAAGCCAGCCCGAUUCAAGGAGGGUUCUGAUGCACUGCGGUGAAUUUUUGGCAAUGAGCGGGCCAGCAGCUCAAUAGAGGCGAGAAUCUAAAAAAGGAAAAGGAAAAAAAGAAAAAAGGUAGAAUGAAAAUCUAGGUGUUAUUAAUCUUUAAAAUCCCCAUCAUACUUUACAAGAAAGCACCUGAAAUCUUACAUUGUUUUUGGUUUAUCCU